Molecule: ribosomal RNA, 258 nt
Filed under: uncultured bacterium
Lineage: Bacteria
Description: partial 16S ribosomal RNA
Rfam family: Bacterial small subunit ribosomal RNA
Source: RNAcentral
GUCCGCACUGUAAACGAUGAUCACUCGUUGUUGGCGAUAUACAGUCAGCGACUAAGCGAAAGCAUUAAGUGAUCCACCUGGGGAGUACGACCGCAAGGUUGAAACUCAAAGGAAUUGACGGGGGCCCCGCACAAGCGGAGGAGCAUGUGGUUUAAUUCGAUGGUACGCGAGGAACCUUACCUGGGCUUGAAAGACAGAUGACCGUCUCUGAAAGGAGAUUUUCGCAAGACAUCUGUCUAGGUGCUGCAUGGCUGUCGU